CACUCCUGCGGGAGGCAGCAGUGGGGAAUAUUGGACAAUGGGCGCAAGCCUGAUCCAGCCAUGCCGCGUGAGUGAUGAAGGCCCUAGGGUUGUAAAGCUCUUUCACCGGUGAAGAUAAUGACGGUAACCGGAGAAGAAGCCCCGGCUAACUUCGUGCCAGCAGCCGCGGUAAUACGAAGGGGGCUAGCGUUGUUCGGAUUUACUGGGCGUAAAGCGCACGUAGGCGGACUAUUAAGUCAGGGGUGAAAUCCCGGGGCUCAACCCCGGAACUGCCUUUGAUACUGGUAGUCUUGAGUUCGAGAGAGGUGAGUGGAAUUCCGAGUGUAGAGGUGAAAUUCGUAGAUAUUCGGAGGAACACCAGUGGCGAAGGCGGCUCACUGGCUCGAUACUGACGCUGAGGUGCGAAAGCGUGGGGAGCAAACAGGAUUAGAUACCCGAGUAGUCCCAUGAU
RNAcentral lists this ribosomal RNA (451 nucleotides) under uncultured organism. Its description in RNAcentral is "partial 16S ribosomal RNA". It matches the Rfam family "Bacterial small subunit ribosomal RNA", at positions 334 to 801 of the family's 1533-position model. The record is from RNAcentral.